CCUACGGGAGGCAGCAGUAGGGAAUCUUUCACAAUGGGCGAAAGCCUGAUGGAGCAACGCCGCGUGGGUGAAGAAGGUCUUCGGAUCGUAAAACUCUGUUGUCAGAGAAGAAAGUGCGUGAGAGUAACUGUUCACGCUUCGACGGUAUCUAACCAGCAAGCCACGGCUAACUACGUGCCAGCAGCCGCGGUAAUACGUAGGGGGGAAGCGUUAUCCGGAUUUAAUGGGCGUAAAGGGAAAGUAGGCGGUUUUUUAAGUCUGGUGGGAAAGCCUGGGGCUUAACCCGUGGAGUGCCUUGGAAACUGGGUGACUUGAGUGAAGGAGAGGGAAGUGGAACUCCAUGUGUAGCGGUGAAAUGCGUAGAUAUCAGGAAGAACACCAGUGGCGAAGGCGGCUAUCUGGACUGUAACUGACGGUGAGGGUCGAAAGCGUGGGGAGCAAACAGGAUUAGAUACCCGAGUAGUC
RNAcentral lists this ribosomal RNA (465 nucleotides) under uncultured bacterium. Its description in RNAcentral is "partial 16S ribosomal RNA". It matches the Rfam family "Bacterial small subunit ribosomal RNA", at positions 338 to 795 of the family's 1533-position model. The record is from RNAcentral.